RNAcentral lists this transfer RNA (71 nucleotides) under Diaphorina citri (Asian citrus psyllid). It matches the Rfam family "tRNA". From Rfam's summary of the family: Transfer RNA (tRNA) molecules are approximately 80 nucleotides in length. Their secondary structure includes four short double-helical elements and three loops (D, anti-codon, and T loops). Lineage: Eukaryota; Metazoa; Arthropoda; Insecta; Hemiptera; Psyllidae. The record is from Rfam by way of RNAcentral.
GCUUCCAUGGCGUAGUGGUCACUGCGCUCGCCUUGCACGCGGAGACCCGGGUUCGAUUCCCGGCGGGGUCA